AAGUCCGUGCUGCACUGCCCACAAAGUUACAGCAACUAGAAACCCAUAGCGGUGAACUGUAGGCCUUUGCAGGAUUCACCUUCAUAAAGACCGCAACAUUUUUCUCAAAGGACAAUUACUUACUUCACCGGUUAAUAAUGUCAACAUAGACCGUAGGCUACGUUGAUGAAAUCCACACAAUGAAGGGGCUUAUGUACUGUUUGUUAAGAGGAUCUGCUUAAUCAGCGUACGUCCAGGUCUCUGAAUUUCGGACAUUUUCAAAAUAACAGUACCUCACGUAAUAUAAAAGUCAUAUCGAGUGGUUCCCAUUAUGAAUUUGAUGCUAUGCAACCCAGGGCUGGAGACUUUCCUCAGCAAAGAUAGUAUUUUUGUCACCCUAGGAUCGAAGCAAAUGGACUCCUGAAACAACCAGCAAACCAGGCUAUCGUCUUGUGAAACAGUGGAUGUAAAGAAUCUAGCUAGCUAAAGCAUUUACUGCAAAUUGAAUGUACUUUUUUGUAGGCUUGCCUUGCUGAUAUUUGCCAUGCAAUGCAGAUAGAUGAAAUAAUGUUGCUAGCUAUGUUCUUGCUUAUUGUACAGUGGAGGAUAAAAAUACCUGUAUGCCUAUGGAUGUGUAGCUAGCUAUCUAGCGAUCUGUGUAUAGACCCAAACGUGGUAUACAUAUUAGUUCAGAACCUAGCUAUGAACCUCAGCUAUCAUAGCCAGUUGUAUCAACUUGAAAACAGUCUGAAUUACAUUAAUGAAGGCUAUGGAUUGAGUAGAAUAUAAUAUAACUUUGUGUCAAGGAUGCAAGUUGUAUGUACAUGUAGUUAUUACCAUGCAUGAGAUCCCCACAUUGUAGCCUGUACAUUUAAUAUAUUCACUGAUCAUGUACUCUACCUUGGCAAAUAAAGGUGCAGUUUAGGUA
This is a long non-coding RNA of Salmo salar (Atlantic salmon), 907 nucleotides long. RefSeq lists it as uncharacterized. The record is from RefSeq and is a predicted model, not a curated record. NCBI's taxonomy places the organism in Eukaryota, Metazoa, Chordata, Actinopteri, Salmoniformes, Salmonidae.